RNAcentral lists this ribosomal RNA (236 nucleotides) under uncultured bacterium. Its description in RNAcentral is "partial 16S ribosomal RNA". It matches the Rfam family "Bacterial small subunit ribosomal RNA", at positions 118 to 347 of the family's 1533-position model. The record is from RNAcentral.
UGAGUAACCUGCCCUUGACUCUGGGAUAAGCGUUGGAAACGACGUCUAAUACCGGAUACGACCAGCCUCGGCAUCGGGUGUUGGUGGAAAGAAUUUUUGGGUCAAAGGGAUGGACUCGCGGCCUAUCAGGUAGUUGGUGAGGUAAUGGCUCACCAAGCCUACGACGGGUAGCCGGCCUGAGAGGGUGACCGGCCACACUGGGACUGAGACACGGCCCAGACUCCGUACGGGAGCAG